Molecule: long non-coding RNA, 278 nt
Filed under: Pongo abelii (Sumatran orangutan)
Lineage: Eukaryota; Metazoa; Chordata; Mammalia; Primates; Hominidae
Description: lincRNA
Source: RNAcentral
GUACAACAAGCUCUGUGGUUUUAUUUCUCCUAAAUGGGAAGAAACAUGGAGAGGAAGAAAAGUGUGCAAUUUCAGUUGCAAAUGGAGGCAGGGGCGCACCAUGUUCUCUGAUACGAUUGUACCUCCCAUUGGUAAGAAUCAGAGGCUGAAUAGAUUCUGUUACUGAAACUCAACACUUAGUUCAUACCUGCUGCAAUUUUAAUUACUUGUUGACUCUUUAUGGCUUUUGCUCUAAGUUGGAGUAUGGUGACAAACACACAAGUAAGUUUGCAAAGGCA